RNAcentral lists this unclassified non-coding RNA (17 nucleotides) under Mus musculus (house mouse). RNAcentral describes it as "oocyte_clustered_small_RNA4134". The record is from RNAcentral. Lineage: Eukaryota; Metazoa; Chordata; Mammalia; Rodentia; Muridae.
UCGGCCCUGAAGCAAGG